GGGCCCGUAGUUUAAUCGGAUAGAACGGGAGCUUGCGGAGCUCCUGGUCUGGGUUCGAAUCCCAGCGGGCCCA
This 73-nucleotide transfer RNA is filed under the name Candidatus Aenigmarchaeota archaeon ex4484_224. RNAcentral's name for it is "tRNA-Arg". It matches the Rfam family "tRNA". From Rfam's summary of the family: Transfer RNA (tRNA) molecules are approximately 80 nucleotides in length. Their secondary structure includes four short double-helical elements and three loops (D, anti-codon, and T loops). The record is from RNAcentral. Lineage: Archaea; Nanobdellati; Candidatus Aenigmatarchaeota. RNAcentral also lists the same sequence under 1 other name.